Molecule: ribosomal RNA, 1335 nt
Filed under: Platynus brunneomarginatus
Lineage: Eukaryota; Metazoa; Arthropoda; Insecta; Coleoptera; Carabidae
Description: SSU rRNA
Rfam family: Eukaryotic small subunit ribosomal RNA
Source: RNAcentral
GCAUGUCUAAGUACAAACUAUAUUAAAGUGAAACCGCGAAAGGCUCAUUAAAUCAGUUAUGGUUCCUUAGAUCGUACCACAAUUACUUGGAUAACUGUGGUAAUUCUAGAGCUAAUACAUGCAAACAGAGCUCUAACCGGAGACGGAAGGAGUGCUUUUAUUAGAUCAAAACCAAUCGGCGGCGGUAACAUUUCGGUGUUAUCGUUCGUCGCUUAAUAUAUGGUGAAUCUGAAUAACUUUAUGCUGAUCGCAUGGUCUUGUACCGGCGACGCAUCUUUCAAAUGUCUGCCUUAUCAACUGUCGAUGGUAGGAUCUGCGCCUACCAUGGUUGUAACGGGUAACGGGGAAUCAGGGUUCGAUUCCGGAGAGGGAGCCUGAGAAACGGCUACCACAUCCAAGGAAGGCAGCAGGCGCGCAAAUUACCCACUCCCGGCACGGGGAGGUAGUGACGAAAAAUAACGAUACGGGACUCAUCCGAGGCCCCGUAAUCGGAAUGAGUACACUUUAAAUCCUUUAACAAGGACCAAUUGGAGGGCAAGUCUGGUGCCAGCAGCCGCGGUAAUUCCAGCUCCAAUAGCGUAUAUUAAAGUUGUUGCGGUUAAAAAGCUCGUAGUUGAAUUUGUGUCUCGCACUGUCGGUUCACCGCCCGCGGUGCUAACUGGCAUGUUUGCGAGACGUCCUGCCGGUGGAUGGUACGUAAUAUUGAUAUCUGUUUACGGAUUUCUUUAUUGCUCAUCCGACUUUUUAAAUCCUGUCGCGGUGCUCUUAAUUGAGUGUCGAGGCGGGCCGGCACGUUUACUUUGAACAAAUUAGAGUGCUCAAAGCAGGCUAAUUAAUGCCUGAAUAAUUAGUGCAUGGAAUAAUAGAACAGGACCUUGGUUCUAUUUUGUUGGUUUUCGGAACCCCAAGGUAAUGAUUAAUAGGGACAGAUGGGGGCAUUCGUAUUGCGACGUUAGAGGUGAAAUUCUUGGAUCGUCGCAAGACGGACUAAAGCGAAAGCAUUUGCCAAAGAUGUUUUCAUUAAUCAAGAACGAAAGUCAGAGGUUCGAAGGCGAUCAGAUACCGCCCUAGUUCUGACCAUAAACGAUGCCAGCUAGCGAUCCGCCAAAGUUCCUCCGAUGACUUGGCGGGUAGCUUUCGGGAAACCAAAGCUUUUGGGUUCCGGGGGAAGUAUGGUUGCAAAGCUGAAACUUAAAGGAAUUGACGGAAGGGCACCACCAGGAGUGGAGCCUGCGGCUUAAUUUGACUCAACACGGGAAACCUCACCAGGCCCAGACACUGGAAGGAUUGACAGAUUGAGAGCUCUUUCUUGAUUCAGUGGGUGGUGGUGCAUGG